AUCUACUUGUUAUUCUGUGAUUAUAAACAACCAUAUACCUGCCUAUGUUUUAGUUUGAGAAUCUCAUGGCUAAGUCUAUGAUAGAGUUUGUUAUUUUAUUCAAUGUGAGAUUCUUAAUAUUGCCACAUUUUGGUGGCUGCUGAAGUCAAUUGUGGCUUUCACUCUAUUGACACCGAUAAGCUCUUUCCUUUUUAUCUCUUCACUCACACAUUUCAUGAAAUACACUAAUUUCGGAACAGCUUCUUAAUCAUCAAAUCUUAAAGCAUCAUACAAUUAAUCACUCUCAGAUCCAUCAAAGUCUAUCUCAUUAUCAGGAUGUUCCAAAUUUAUGUAACUUGAUUGUGAACAAUGCAAUGGGAGUGGACUAUAGUCAAGAUCUAUAUUUGGAAAAAAUGACUAGGAACAUAAGUUGUUAUACUAAUGUGAAUAAAAUCAAUAAAAAUAACUAUAAUUCUACCAUUCCUGGGUUUUCACACUGAUAAAUUAGAGUUAACUUCAAUAGGAUUUGUAGGCAAUUAGAUUUGAAAUAAUAUAAUUAAACUAAAAUUAUUUAACUAAACCUUUUAAAAUAAAUAAACUAAACUAAUUUGAAUAAUAUAAUCACUCCAAUCUAAUUACAGUUAAUUAGUGAUAAUUAAACAACUAAAUUGCGUUCAAUCUCUUUUUUUUCUCAUUAUGUUUAUUGUUUUUGUUUUUUGGGCCAAUCAGAAGUUUACACAUUCGAGACAAAAUUAAUUUAAUAGUUUAUUGAUUUUGAUUACUCUAUUAUGAUUGCAUUAUUGUAUAUAUUAGUUGUUUUUAGGGUUGAUACAUGCUACUAGAUUUUGACCCUUUUUAUUUUGCUAAAACCUGUAGAAAGAUGUACAUGGGGUUGUGCAAUAUAGAUAUAGAUAAAUGUCGUCAAUGUGUUGGUGUAGGAUAAAUUGAUGAUGUAAAUAUUUUUGCCCAAUCAUUACAUAAUUUAUGUACGCUUACAUUUUUUUGAUAAUGCAGUUAAAUAACUUUCCCCCCUGAGAAAACUAUAGGACGGAAAGAUAAUAUUUAAAGAUGUGAAAAUAAGCAUACCUUUUCGUUAGUUUUACUUUCAAAUUAACUUGAGAGAAUCUACAUUUGCCAAAUAAGUACUUAUCAAUAAAUUUACUUAUUUAAAAGCAAUCUACAAAAUGAUAAAAACUUCAAUCAUGUCCCACUAAUUGAAGUCCAUUACCUUGCCCACUGCAUCAGAAUUCCAAAUGAAGGGCAUGUUGAAGCAUUUGGUUUAAGACCAUUUGGUUCUGCUCUAUUAUAGUAAUCAUCAUUCAUUAUAUUAUAAUAAGCAUUUCCAUUUUGUUUGCCUUUCAAUCUCAAGCCAUUGGAAUUGAUUUUGACUUCCCAGCUGCAAGUUGCUAUUUGAGAAGACUUACUAACCCUUCAAGAUAUGAACUGGCCAUGAUUAUGACUCAACACCCAUUUUUAGCUAUACAUCAAUGAACUCAGUUUUGGUUCUUAUAAUAAUAGAGUAAAAAUAGGACAACUCAUUAUACGAGACUCUCACUUAAUACAGUAGGAUGAUAGAUGUAUGCAAACUUAC
This is a non-coding RNA of Lupinus albus (white lupine), 1570 nucleotides long. Lineage: Eukaryota; Viridiplantae; Streptophyta; Magnoliopsida; Fabales; Fabaceae. The record is from the annotation of a GenBank genome assembly.